Molecule: ribosomal RNA, 229 nt
Filed under: uncultured bacterium
Lineage: Bacteria
Description: partial 16S ribosomal RNA
Rfam family: Bacterial small subunit ribosomal RNA
Source: RNAcentral
UGCGUAGGCUGAAUAGUCAGUCAGUGGUGAAAUCCUACAGCUUAACUGUAGAACUGCCAUUGAUACUGCUAUUCUUGAGUACAGUUGAGGUAGGCGGAAUGUGUAGUGUAGCAGUGAAAUGCUUAGAUAUUACACAGAACACCGAUUGCGAAGGCAGCUUACUAAACUGUUACUGACGCUGAGGCACGAAAGCGUGGGGAGCGAACAGGAUUAGAUACCCUGGUAGUCC